RNAcentral lists this small nucleolar RNA (77 nucleotides) under Brassica napus (rape). The record is from RNAcentral. Lineage: Eukaryota; Viridiplantae; Streptophyta; Magnoliopsida; Brassicales; Brassicaceae. RNAcentral also lists the same sequence under 1 other name.
UCAAUGCCGGUGAUGGUGUUAAAUAUACUUUGAGAGCUAAAGUCUCUAGGAAAAAAGAAACAAAUCUGAGGCAUUCU